GUAACACGUGGGANUAUACCUUUUGGUUCGGAACAACUGAGGGAAACUUCAGCUAAUACCGAAUGUGUCCUUGCGGAGAAAGAUUUAUCGCCAAAGGAUUAGCCCGCGUUCGAUUAGCUAGUUGGUAGGGUAACGGCCUACCAAGGCGACGAUCGAUAGCUGUUCUGGGAGGAAGAUCAGCCACACUGGGACUGAGACACGGCCCAGACUCCUACGGGAGGCAGCAGUUGGGAAUCUUGGACAAUGGGGGAAACCCUGAUCCAGCCAUGCCGCGUGAGUGAUGAAGGCCUUCGGGUUGUAAAACUCUUUCGACGGGGACGAUAAUGACGGUACCCGUAGAAGAAGCUCCGGCUAACUUCGUGCCAGCAGCCGCGGUAAUACGAAGGGGGCUAGCGUUGUUCGGAAUUACUGGGCGUAAAGCGCGCGCAGGCGGUUUUCCAAGUCAGUGGUGAAAGCCCGGAGCUCAACUCAGGAACUGCCAUUGAAACUGUUAAACUUGAGGACGAGAGAGGUGAGUGGAAUUCCCAGUGUAGAGGUGAAAUUCGUAGAUAUUGGGAAGAACACCGGUGGCGAAGGCGGCUCACUGGCUCGUUUCUGACGCUCAGGCGCGACAGCGUGGGGAUCAAACAGGAUUAGAUACCCUGGUAGUCCACGCCGUAAACGAUGAUUGCUAGCCGUUGGGCAGCUUGCUGUUCAGUGGCGCAGCUAACGCAUUAAGCA
Molecule: ribosomal RNA, 720 nt
Filed under: uncultured Alphaproteobacteria bacterium
Lineage: Bacteria; Pseudomonadati; Pseudomonadota; Alphaproteobacteria
Description: bacterial SSU rRNA
Rfam family: Bacterial small subunit ribosomal RNA
Source: RNAcentral